GGUCUGGACCACAGAACAGCUGUGUUUACCGCCCGACCCAGCUCUGGAGGUCUUGCUCUGCCUCGCAGGCUAGGGCACCACUGUAGCCCUAGAUGGCCAAGGCCUCUGGAAUGACCCGAAGUGGGCGCUUUCUCCAGCAUCAUGCCUGAGGAUGAUGAGGCCACAGGAAUCCCCCCAGACCCUGGGGUCAAUAUUUCAGGGCUCCUCUUCACCUUCCUCCCACCCCAGGCCUGGGAAAUCUUCCUGUGCACCAGAGUUCUUGGAGAGGACAGGGCACAGUUCCCAGUUCUGGCCCAACGGCGGCAGGGCUUGGUUCCCUGUGGCGCUCAGAGGUGGGGGCCUCCCAAAGCCGAUACCUGAUUCCUGUUCCCAGAUUGGGGAACUGGGAGGAGUGAACUUCCUAGGAAUGUGAGCCAUGUCCCUGAUUUCCAACAAACCCCAGAUGUGUGGAAACGAUGUCUUCUGAGUGCAGAGGGAGCCUUGUCCCUUGCAGAUGGGCUGCUUCCGGGGACUGCCAGGGCCGUGGCAGGCACCAUGCUGUGGCCACCCCAGUGGAGUCCCUUUGCCCGCUUCGUGUCCCGGCAUCCCCACUAGGUGCCUGGCUCUUCUGUGCAGGUGUCGGGGUGUCUGGAGCCCCGAAGUUUUUGUUUUGUUUUGUUAGAGGUGGAGAUGGUGAACCUGAACUCCCUGGGUCUCCGCCCGUUGGGGCAGGAGGGAGCCUAAUCCAGGCUUAACCGGGCUCACUGAGAAGGUGCAGGAAGCGCAGAACGACUCCCGCCCGUGUGCGGCCCACAUUGGGCCAGGGCGCUGCCGCUGGGUGUCUGCAACCGGGAGCGUCCCGGCCGCUGGAAGGAUACAGGGAAUCGGUUUCCCACGCUUUCCCUGUUGAUCUCAGAACCUUUAAAAAGCCGCCAACGAAUGCCGUUGCCCGGAUGCGCUGAGUGUGCCCUGAGCCGUGUGUUCACGCGCGCCCGCAGCCGUGCAGUGGGUCCCCUCCUGCCACCUGCCGCCCCGGGGCCGCCGGCCUGCGCUGGCCCGGGAGGAGCAACUUCGUUACCCACAGCGCCCGCGUCCUGCGGCCGGCGGGGAGCUGCGCGCCGCGGAGGUGGCACGGACCGGCUCCAGAACGCUGCCUGCAUGGACGCGGCCGCUGCCUUCAGCUCCCAGUUCUGGCCGCGCGUGGGCAGCAACGAAAUAGCGAGCCUCGCAGCCUUCCGGGCCCGGCGGCCGCAUUCCGGGAGUAGCCAGGGUCACAAGGAUCCAAGAGUUGAAGAGGGAGACAGGAGAGUCAGGGUCAGGAUGGAGAGGAGACGUGAGAAUACCAGGAAGAUUCCUCCGGCUGUGCUGGCUCUGAAGACAGAGGAAGGGGCGGUGAGACAUGGUUCAAGAACAGUCCCCAGUCUGUCACUCCCAGGCCUGUGACCCUGGGCAUAGGACCCAAGAAAGAGAGGUGAUACCCACCUCUCAGGAUUGCUGCCCGGAACAAAUAAAGUGAUGGGCUUUACAGAAACAGGUGAGUGGCAGGCAGAUGGCAUCCAUGCCCUCGCCCUGCCAGACACUCUGCCCACUGUCCCUCAUUCUGCUGAAAUGGCUCCCCAGGGUCCCCAGAGAUGUCUGAAUGGCCCUGCCAUCUCUGUUUUCCUGGGGCCCUGCAACACUUGUGCAACUCAUUCCUGAAAACGAAC
This 1685-nucleotide long non-coding RNA is filed under the name Callithrix jacchus (white-tufted-ear marmoset). RNAcentral's name for it is "lncRNA (ENSCJAG00000081282.1)". Lineage: Eukaryota; Metazoa; Chordata; Mammalia; Primates; Cebidae. The record is from RNAcentral.